RNAcentral lists this ribosomal RNA (492 nucleotides) under uncultured bacterium. Its description in RNAcentral is "partial 16S ribosomal RNA". It matches the Rfam family "Bacterial small subunit ribosomal RNA", at positions 29 to 507 of the family's 1533-position model. The record is from RNAcentral.
AGUGAACGCUGGCGGUAUGCCUAACACAUGCAAGUCGAACGGCAGCACAGUAAGAGCUUGCUCUUACGGGUGGCGAGUGGCGGACGGUUGAGGAAUACAUCGGAAUCUACUUUUUCGUGGGGGAUAACGUAGGGAAACUUACGCUAAUACCGCAUACGACCUACGGGUGAAAGCAGGAGAUCUUCGGACCUUGCGCGAUUGAAUGAGCCGAUGUCGGAUUAGCUAGUUGGCGGGGUAAAGGCCCACCAAGGCGACGAUCCAUAGCUGGUCUGAGAGGAUGAUCAGCCACACUGGAACUGAGACACGGUGCAGACUCCUAAGGGAGGCAGCAGUGGGGAAUAUUGGACAAUGGGCGCAAGCCUGAUCCAGCCAUACCGCGUGAGUGAAGAAGGCCUUCGGGUUGUAAAGCCCUUUUGUUGGGAAAGAAAAGCAGCAGGUUAAUACGCAGCUGUUCUGACGGUACCCAAAGAAUAAGCACCGGCUAACUUCGUG